This 8533-nucleotide long non-coding RNA is filed under the name Cinara cedri. The record is from RNAcentral. Lineage: Eukaryota; Metazoa; Arthropoda; Insecta; Hemiptera; Aphididae.
AAUCAAUGUUUACAUAAUAACAAAACUUCAUGCAUGUUACAAUUACUUUUAACAUAUUUAUUGUUUUCUAGGUUGUUAACAUUUUAUACAGAGAGAAUGAUUGGGUGUAUGUAAUAGCAGAGGAUAGCCGUCAAGAGGGUUUUAUACCUCAUUCUUAUUGUACACCUUAUAAUUCUCAACUUGGUGAGAUAGCUUUAAAUAAUGUUAAAAAAAAAUUACCACGUGCACCUGCUGCUACACCAACUGAAACGGUUAUUGAAGUUGAAAUAAAUGAACAACAAAAACAUGGUUUGUGUAUUACAUUUUAUCAAUAUUAAUAUAAUAUUGUAUAUUAUAACUUUAAACAUAAUUGUUCUGUAUGUAUUUUUUUUUUUCAUUAUUAGGAAAUUGUGGUGAUUUAUCAGACUGUGAAAGUUUUGGCAAUAAAACUCAAGAUCAAAAGAUUCAAAAUAAGCAAAAUAUAACUAGUUCUAGAGCAUCAUUAUUAAGUGCGUCUUCACAUCCUGAAAUUCGACCUUUUUUCAAAGUGAGUAUUAUUAAUAUAUUGAAUAUAGUUUACACACUUGCAUAACUUACAGAGAUCUUACUAUCUGUGUGUAAUGGGAAAAUAAUAAAAGAAUAAAUAAAAGCCUCUUCAUAACAUUAAACCGGUAAAUAGAUAUACCAGUACACUGAUUAAUAUUUUGUAUACUAGAUUCUAGAAUAUAAAGAUUUUUUCUAUGAUAAUCAAGAUUUCCUGUAGAACACCAAACAUUUGUACACUAAUUUCUAUUAGUGAUUUACACUAUGUUUAAUUUUUAAAUUUAAUAUAUUGUAUAUUUUUUUCAUCUCUAUACUUUUUGACUAGAAUCAUAAUAAAAUUUUACAUUACACAUAAUCAUGUUUUGUUUGAUGUUUUUUCUCUUCUUUAUUCUCUUUUACUUUUUGUUAUUUACUUAAAUUAUUUUAUUUUAUUAUAGGAUGUUCAAAUGAUAUUAAUAUUGCUAUGAUUUUAGGUUCUAAGCAAAUCGAGAAAUGUAUUGGUUUCAUAAUGAUAUUUUAUUUUUAUUUAUUUUAUACUGUGUGCAAAAAUUCCAUCAGAAACCUGUCUCCGAAGUAUUAAAUAUAGCACCUUUUUUGAAAGGAAAUUUUCUUGGGGUAAUACAGUAGAGGGGGGUCAUUUUUUGAUUUUCCCAGGGGGUUUUCAUAAAAAAAAAAAUGGAAAAAUGUACAAAAAUAAUAAAAGUAUUAUUUUUAAUUUACAAAUAAAAACACAUCUUUGUCAAAUUUGUAAUUUUCUCUGUUAUUUGUCUGUUAACAUGUAUUUGACCAGUUGUGGAUUUUACACCUUUAAAACCUAGUUAGUACUCUUCUACUCCGUUUUUUUUUUUAAUAGUUUUAGUCUUUUUAAAGUUAUAUUUGUGAGGACUUUAUGAUGGGCUAAGUAAAGUUUCCUCUUUAACAGAGGUUCCUAAACUUUUUAUGGUAUUACUCAUUUUGGAAAUUAUUGAAAUUUUGCCGACAAUAAUAUCACUUUUUUUUUCUGCUGUUUCUUGGAUCAGUUAUUUACAACAAAGAAUUAAAAACUAUGCAUUUUAAAGAAUGGCCAAUUUUAUUUUUAAAUUUGUAUCAAGGAAUAUUUAUAAUUAUUUACUUAGUUAGUAAAAAAUAAUAUAUAUAUUAGUAAGUAUAUAAAAUUUUAAUAUGAAACAUGUUAUUGUUUCUUAUAUUUUAUUACUGUAUUGAUAUUCACUUCAAUAUUUGUUAGCUUGAGAUGCAGUGAGUUUGACAAUAUCAAUUUGCUCCAUAAUUUGGUUUUGAUAGCAACCUUUGCUGAAAAUCCAACUUCACAAUUAUAUGAUUAAAUAAAUAGGAGUAACAUCUAUACAGCUUCAUUGAAAACAUUUCAAUGGGUUUCUCGAACAGACAAUCAGAAACUUUUAAAUUUUUUGAUUGAAAUUCAUUUUAAAUAAAUUAUUUUCAAUUAAUUCUUCUUUAGCUCUUAUUUCAUUUUUAGAUAGUUCUCUAUCUCACUCAGAAAAUAUGAAUCAAAAUUAUCUUUCAGUGUAUUUAAAUUAUUAGAAAUAGAUGAAAUAAUGUUAUCAUCAAAUUUUAUUUGUAAAUCAAAUAAAUAUAGAACAACUAUUAAUUUGAUUGUGUCUAUUGACAAAUUCAUAAUUGUAACACUCGCAGAUAACGAUUUAUGAUAAAACUGAAUUUGAACAUCAACGAAAAGUAAUAAAAAUACAGAAUUAUAGUACCACAUGUCAAAAAAAAAAAAAUAUAUUAUUUAAAAAUAUUAUGGUGACAGUUUGGGAACCUCUGCUCUAUAGUUUUGGCAGUCCCUUAAGUCUCCAUUUUUAUGUAUUGGACACAGUACUAAAUAAAAUCUGCUAUGAUUUUGGUAAUAUUUCUUCUUUCCAUGUUAUAGUUAUUACCUGUUUCAAGUAUAUUAUAAGUUCCAACAUUUUUGAGUCUUCUCUUAACGCUCUUCCUCUCUUUAGCAUAUUAACUACAUUUUAAUCUCCUCCAACAAAGGCCUCUAAAAAUUCCUCUACUGAAUAUUAUUAUUUUCAGUUUCUAUUUGAGUUGAUAUGUUCAAGAUAUUUUUGAGAUCUUUUCGAGUUCUUUUGUUACCUCUUCCUUAUCAGUGAUUAAUUUUAACUUUUUGUUUUUCAUUAUUCUUGAUCUAGGUUCGAAUCUAUUUGAUUCUGAGCGAAGCGAGGAAUGUAUUGGUUUUACAAUGAUUUAAAUUUUUUUUUUUUCAGUGGACAACUUUUCUAUCAGAAAUCUUGCUCCAAUUUUUAAGUGUUGCACUUUUUCUGAAAUGGAAUUGGACUGGGGGAGGUACUUUAGGGAGGUCAUUUUUGGAUUUUCUAAGUUGGCUUUCAUAAUAUCUGGGAAUAAACCGGGAUAAAAUGUAGGGAAAAAAAACUACGAAAAUAAUGCAUUUUGAAUUUAGUUUAAAAUGUUCAUAGUGGUUUAAAAUUUGGAUAGAAAACUUAUAUUUACCUUUUCUAGAGGUGAUAAAACUGUGAAAGCAUAUCAGACAUUUAUUAAUUGUUUAUAGAUAUUUUAAAUUUCUGAGUAAUUUUUAUUUAGUAGGUACUCUGUGGAUAAAAUUGUGCUUAGAAAUUGAUUACGAGGUUCAUUAGAAGUUGUAUAUUGUGGUCAAAACAAAAAAAAAAAAAAUGAGUUGUUUUAUAUAUGCUCUGAAUCUAAAAGAGCUGAUAAUGGAAACAGGUGCGACCACUGUUAUAGUGGAGAAAGUAGUAUACAGUGGUAUGGCGCGCAGCGUUUUAUUAGUGCUCCACUAUUCUCCCCUUACCUAAACUUAAAAGUAUAAUACCUUGUCAAUGAGUGGAUGGAAAUAAAAAAUGUUAAAACCAAAACGUAUUUAAAGUAAUACUUUGUCUUAGAGAUUUAUGGAUUUUUAAAUAUAGGCUCUCAUUUGAAAAACCAAAUUUGUAUUGUCUCAGGAUACUCCUUAAAUUUUAUGAAAAAUCUAAGUAUUCGAAAAUAUCAGUUUUAAUUACAAUUAAAAAUUCAAUAAACAGAAUUUGAAUUUAUGCAAAAUUUAAUCAAAAAAAGUUUAAUCUUCUGACUCUGUUUAAAAAAAUAUAUUUUCUUAAAUAUUUAUCAAUAUUAAUUCUAUAAUAUAUAUUAUUCUAUUUGCCAUAUUUAUUACAUUUAUUUUGAUUAUUUAAUUAUUUAGGCAUAUUACAUUAUGUUGUGGACCACUUCAUUUUUGGAUCAAAGAUAAUUGUGGUAGGUACAUUUAUUCAAAAGAAACAGUUUUGAAACAUGUUUGGUACAAAGUGUAGUUUUGUAAUUUUAUCUAUUGUAUAUUAUUAUUACUUGUUCAAUGUAAUAUUAUAAUAUAUUAACCUUUGGGAAUUAUAGGAUCCUGCUGGACGGUACAUCGUUCUGUAUACAUUUAUAGCAAGAGAUGAAAAUGAUGUUAGCGUUGAAAGAGGAGAAUUUGUUACUGUAUUGAAUAGAGAAGACCCUGAUUGGUAUUGGAUUAUUCGUAGCGACGGACAAGAAGGUUUUGUUCCUAGCGGUUUUGUUUAUCCAGCUGAUAUAAUACAAGGUAUAGAAUAUAUCCAAUAAAUUUGUUUCAUUAUUAAUGAUAAUUAAAUUAUUAAUUAAUAAUAAAUUAAAAUAAUAACAUAUAUUAUGAUAAAAUUAAUCAUUGUAUAGUCAAAAUAAAUAAUUAUCAAUUAAUAAAAUAAUAAAUUAAAACAAAAUUAUUAAAAUGGUUAAUAAUCUUAAAUAAAUAUAUAAAUAAAACAAUUCAUAUAUAUAUAUAUAUAUAAAAUGUUUUAUAUAUAUUUACUAUAUUUAAUUAUUGAUUGUUUUUUGUACAGGUCAUAUUAAUCAAAUGAAUAAUAAUAAUCAGUGUACUGGUGCUACUAAUACUGGACUUCCUCCAGUAACAAGAGCUCGACCACGUCGGAAUUCUUGUGUGGCUGAUGAUGAUCCAGCUAUUCAUGGUACUGAAAUGGUUAUGUUGUAUGAUUACAAGGUAUGUGCAUAUUCAAUGUAAUUAAAGGGUCAAAUGCAACAACUGGCCUUGUCCACUUUUACUUAAUGUUUGGUAGACAGAAAAAUCUUUAAAAUAAAGAAAAAGAUAAAAUUUCAGACAAAUAAUGUAAUGUAGUUAUUAAUAUUACAAAAUAUUUAAACAUUUAAAUGAACACAGUUUUGUUAUUUAAGUUAGUCCUAUUGCAAUUUUUAAUCAAUAAAUAUUGUAUUAAAAAUAUUAAUUUAAUUAUUAAAAUUACACUACAUUACUACAUAGCAGAUUUAUAACCUACUAUAAUUUUGAAUCCACGUCAAAAUGUUGUGGCAAUAAUUUCGUGAUUAAAAAUAUCUGUAUAAAAAUUAUUUAAAAAUUAAAAAUAUAAAUUUUUUAUUUUGUAUUAUAUUUAGUAUAAUUUAUAUACAGUGAGGUUAGAUUAAAAAUAAUAAUUUCUUACAUUUCAUACAUUUGUAGUUGUCAUUUAUACUGUUUAUGUACAUAGUCAAAUCAAAUUAGUUAUUAAAAAAGUAUUAUAUUAUUUAUAUUACAGUAGAUUCUCGUUAUAUCGAAUCUCAAGGGGAACAAAAAAAAGUUCGAGAUAAUGAAUUUUAUUAAAAAAUACAUAAUUUUAAUACUUAAAAUACUGAAAUAAUUGAAAUGAGUGAAUAAAUUAUGUUUUAUUUUAAAAAAUCUGUCAUUAAAGUUUGCUUAAUAUUACUUCUUUCUGCCACGACGUCUUCCAAAUUAGAUAAUACAAAAAAGCCUUAUCUUCUAUACCUGUGAUAGUCUCAACAAAAUUCCUUAAUGUUUUUAAAGCAUGUUUGGCUUGUUGAAUUGUAACUUCAAAAAUGACUUCCUCCUCAUUUUGUGGUUCGUUUUCACUCUCGCUGGUAUUUCAGAUGGUUUCUGAUAAAAUUUUGUUAUCUGUCCAUGUUCCACAUACGUGUACAUUAUUGUCCAUUUCCACAUAAUGUGAAAAACUCUGUCGUCAAAAUUAAGAUGAUCAGCAACAAAAUUCCAUUUAUAAUCAGAAAUGGUAGUUGAGUAAUCUAAUGCAAUUAUAUCAUCGUCUUUAAAUCCGGUUUUUAUGAAGCAAUUUAAUAUAGUCUGUGGUGUUACACUUCUGAUUAUUUCUUUUCUAUAAAACAUUUUGAAAUUCUGUAUAACACCUUGGCUCAUUGGCUGAAAUAUAAGAUGUUGUAUUAGCGGGUAAAAAAUGUACUUUAAUGGAACUUAAUUCAAUAUCGUGAUUAUGAGCUAUACAAUUAUCUAUGAAUAGUAGAACUUUUCGAUUUUCUAGUUUCAUUUUUCUAUAAAAAUUUAAAAGCCACUCACUAAAUAAUGACGAAGUCAUCCAAGCCUUUUUAUUUGACCCAUAGUCAACUGGUAAAGAUUUAAUUCCUUUAAAACACCUAGGCUUCUUUGCUUUACCAAUGACAAAUAAUUUUAGUUUUUCGGUUCCAGACAUAUUUGCUCCUACCAUAAUUGUAAUGCUCUCUUUACUGUAUUUUCCACCCGAACAUUCUUUACCUUUUAAUAUUAAUAUUUUAUCUGGUAAGCAUUUGAAAAAUGAGCCCGUUUCAUCGACAUUAAAAAUAUCAUUAGAAGAAUAACCUGCUAAGACGUCAGGAAGAUUUUUAAUCCAAUUUGAACAACAAUCUGUGUAUACUGAAGCUUUUUCUCCACAAACAGUUCGAAAAACUACAUCAUGUCUUUUUUUUCAAUUUGUAAGCCAUCCACUGCUAGCUUUAAAAUUAGUGUGUCCUAGUUGUUGUGCAUAUUCGUUUGCUUUUUCAAGUAAAAUUGUUCCAUUUAAUAGUAUAUUUUUAUCUCGACACUGAGUAAACUAUUUUAGCAAACAUUUAUUAAUGUGCAAAUAAGGAGUCAUCCUCAUUUUUUUCAUAUUUCCACAAUUGAACUUCAUUAUUUUCUCUUUCUGUUUAAUAAUUGACGAUAAUGUAUUUGGUGGAAUAUUGAAUUCAUUAACGAUUUCACAUUUUUUACAGUCAACUUUUUCAACUAACUGUAUUAAACGAACUUUGUCCGAAAUUGAAAGAAUAUUUAAUUUACGCUUCUUUUCCAUUUCACUACAAAACGAACAAACGAACUACGAAAGAUUACAAACGCGCUAAAUCACAAUCGCUAUAAUGAAUGUACUGCACAAUUCCUGUUUUAACCGUAAUAAAAAUAUUAUUUGUGAAUUCGAGAUAACGAAAAACGAUUAAUUUUAUAUCGAGUUCAAAACACUAUUAAGUGUAAUAGUAGUUUCAAGGGGAAUCCAAUGUAUUUCGAGAUAACGAAAAAUUCGAGAUAGCGACAUUCGACAUAUUAAGAAUCUACUAUAUUAUAAUUGGUACUGAAAAUUGUGAGUUAUUCCGCGUAGGUAGGUGUCAAUCAAUCUUUUUUCGUACUCAUUAACAUCGUUUGUUGUUAGUCUUAUAGCAGAGUCCUUGUAUUUUUUUUUUACCGGAGGUUUGACACCAGCAAUAUAUUGUUCAACUUUUAUAAAAAUUAUUUAAGCAUUCCUUAUAUUAAAAUUGUAUAGCAAAUUUGUUUCGUGUAGAGACAUUUUUGCGCAUGCAACGUUUUUCACUGCAACAUUUUUUACCACGACAUUUUGAUGGAAUACCAAUAAUUUUAUAUUAUCAAAUAAAAAAUUGUCUAUGAUACAGAAGUACAAUUAUUUAUGUCCUGAUAUCCUUUUUUUUCCUAUUUCUAACAAAACCAGAUAUGUCUGAUACAAUGCUACCACUCUAAAAUAAAAAUUUAAAAAGACGUCUUAGGAUAAUGGGGACGGGUACAGCCACUGUUAAGGAUAAUUUAAUGUAUACCUGUAAGCAACUAAAAACGAUUCUGAGCUGAGUUCAGUUGAUAGUGAUACUUUGUCAACAAUAUAUAUGUAAUUUUGUAGUAAAAUAAUUAAUAGGCUUAUAUAUUUUUUUAAUGUUGUACCUAUUUUCCAGAUUUUCCUACAUUUUUCCCAGUUUUCUCCAUAUUUUCUUCUGGUUUUUCACAUUUACUGGGAAAACUCCUGAGAAAAUCGAAAAACGAUCACUGUUUAGUACCUCGCUAGUGAAAUUUCUUUUUAGAAACAUUGCUAUCGUUAUAAAUUAGAGCAAAAUUGCUGGUAGAAAAGUUGUUCGCAAGAAAAAAAAAAGGCUAUUGUAUAUUUUAACUAAUACAUACAUUUCUUAUAUUUUUCAUUUUUCCUCAGUUUUUUUCGGUUUUUUAAAUUUGAUAAGAAAAGUCCUGAUAAAAUUGAAAAAUUACCUUCUUGAAGUACAUCCCCACACUGAUUUCCUUUCAGAAAAGGUGCUACACUUAGAAUUUAAGUAACUCUUUAAGUAAAAAAGUUCAAAUAUAAAAAAAAAAAAAAUAAACAUCUUUGUAAAACUAUAAGCUUCUUUGCUCCAUUCAUAAUCUAAAAUAUAAUAUUUAUGUAGACUUAUAGACAAUUUUCUCCUGCAUAUUUAACCCCUGAAAAAGUGAUUUUAUUCAAAAACUGGGCAUAGCCAAUAGUUAUAGUUGACCCUUCAAUUAUGAUUUUGGACAUUGAUUAUAUGCUAUUAUAGAGUUUAUUAUUUAUUUGGUAAUUUUAUAUAGCCUCAAGCACCAGAUGAUCUAUCAGUCAAACGAGGUGAAUGGAUUUAUGCCGAUCUAGACAAUCAAAUGGUUGAAGGAUGGUUAUGGACAUAUGCACCAAAAACAAGAAAAUAUGGUUUUAUACCUAAAGCAUAUGCUCAUCCGCCUGCCAUGACCAGUUUAUGAUUUUAGGAAUUAAUUAUUAAAUUGAUGAUAAUUUGUGAUCAUUAAUAUCAAAAAGUAUUAUUUUAUGUGUUCAGUAUGAACUUUAAUUCUUAAGUCAAUUUGGAACUCUAACCCAAUAACUUUUAAACUAAAUUUAACUCCUAUAUCUCUCCUAUCCUUUAUUCUUCUUAUAACUUCUUUUGAUGAUCUUUCAAAACCAAUAAUUGUGAUAUUUAAUAACUUAAUGGGAUUGGUGAUAAAAUUAUAUAGGGUAUUAUUUAA